Molecule: ribosomal RNA, 253 nt
Filed under: uncultured bacterium
Lineage: Bacteria
Description: partial 16S ribosomal RNA
Rfam family: Bacterial small subunit ribosomal RNA
Source: RNAcentral
UACGUAGGGGGCGAGCGUUGUCCGGAUUUAUUGGGCGUAAAGAGCGUGUAGGCGGCCAGAUAGGUCUGUUGUGAAAACUCGAGGCUCAACCUCGAGACGCCGAUGGAAACCAUUUGGCUAGAGUCCGGAAGAGGAGAGUGGAAUUCCUGGUGUAGCGGUGAAAUGCGCAGAUAUCAGGAGGAACACCAAUGGCGAAGGCAGCACUCUGGGACGUGACUGACGCUGAGACGCGAAAGCGUGGGGAGCAAACAGG